Molecule: unclassified non-coding RNA, 225 nt
Filed under: plant metagenome
Description: partial contains small subunit ribosomal RNA, internal transcribed spacer 1, and 5.8S ribosomal RNA
Source: RNAcentral
UCUCCGUAGGUGAACCUGCGGAGGGAUCAUUACAGAGCUCAUGCCCUAACGGGUAUUACUCCCACCCUAUGUUAUUAUCACUUUGUUGCUUUGUCGGGCCGCCUUUUACUAGGCUACCGGCUUCGGCUGGUGAGCGCCUGCCAGAGGACAACAAACUCUGAAUAUUUUCGUCGUCUGAGUACUAUAUAAUAGUUAAAACUUUCAACAACGGAUCUCUUGGUUCUG